Long non-coding RNA from Magnolia sinica, 1616 nucleotides. RefSeq lists it as uncharacterized. Lineage: Eukaryota; Viridiplantae; Streptophyta; Magnoliopsida; Magnoliales; Magnoliaceae. The record is from RefSeq and is a predicted model, not a curated record. The transcript is spliced from 6 exons.
UAGAUAAAUGGUACAUAUUACUGGGCUAUGGGCCCCACUUGUCGUUGCUGAAUACCUGUGUAAUUGUUAAGAGACGCGCAUUACGUAUAUAGGGAGUUAUUUGAUACUCUGGCAGCGUAUGACUCUUAACAAUAUUUUUCUUGUUUUGUUUCGACUUUGGAUGAUAUUUCCAAGCUCGUGCUUGAAUUAUUCGAAGUGCCUAUGAUGGCUUUAAAUAUACUUUUGAGUUAUAACUACGAAAAAAAUAUGAUCAGAGGCACGUCUAUUUAUCUUUAUUUUUUUCUUAAUUAUUCUCUAUUCAAUUUCAGAUGAUUGCUUUCAACUUAGAGAAUAGAGGCUUUAUUACUAGAACUCUAUUUAUAACAAUUCACAUUUAUUUUAGAAAUAUUUGUGCCCGUGAUUUGUUUGCUUUUUGCGCAGAUUUUGAAUAAAAGACUUUAUCAGCAUGCCUUGGCUGUCUUCUUGUGUUAAUUACAGCAAGAAGUGUGUUCGCUUGGUAGUGUUCUUUCGUGUCAUAUUGUAAGAUUCAAGCUUUUUCGGUAAGACCAACAUCUCAAAAUUUUUUAAUUUUUUUAUUAUUUAUACAAUCUCAUCUUUUAUUGAAAUAUGUUUGUAGAAUCAUUGAUCUAUUGUACAACUAAGUAACAUGUUUUUUAUAUCAAAUCCAUUUUGAAUUUUAUUGUCCCUCUAGUGAAGAUGGUUUGGAUUUUUGGGGCGGCUCAUGCAGUCAUCAGGAUAUUUGUGUUGGGACCUGUACCAUUUUAGUUCUGUCUUUCUUCAAUAAAGCAGUGGUGUGUCUAUAUUGAACUGAAACUUGAAUUUAAUGUCUGGAACAUGCUAGACUGGGCUCUUAGUCAAUGAAGUGAUGCAGAGAAGCUGUAUAAACAACUUGCGCAUUUAAAAUCAAGACCUAGGCAAAAUUUUCAACGUAAUGGUUUCCUGGGACUUUUUGGACGAAAGGUUGAUGUUUUAGAUCACACUGAGAAGAGGUUACAAGAUUUGGAAGAGAAUGUUAGAAUGCAACAAUCAGAUGUUUCAUUGAUAGGAGAGGUCUUAAUACGCCCGAUGGGUGCUGAUGAACAUAUUUAUUCCAAUUAUAUGGACUCAAAGCAGUGGUUACAAGAUACGGAUGUGCUUGAGAUGAUUCUGAAUAAGUUCAGCUCCUCGAACAUGGUGUGAAGUAGGGUACAUGGACCCCAGAAGAAGAUCAAAGGCUUGUGGACUACAUUGAGAAGCAUGGUCAUGGAAGUUGGAGAGCACUCCCGAAGCUCGCGGACCUGAAUAGUUGUGGAAAAUUCUCCAGUGAAGAAGAGCGGAUCAUUGUCAACCUUCAUUCGGUUCUUGGAAAUAAGUUUUAGGCAUGGAUGAAUGGGAGCUAUAGAUCUAUGGAUUUUAUUUAUUUAUUUUGAGACUAUUCGAUUUAUUAUUGUAAAUAUUAUUUGCGGCAACUCGAUGCAUCUGAAAGGGCCACAUAGGCAUGUAUUUUUUUUUUUAUAGGAAAACAAUCACUGGGCACAAUCGACUUCCUAAGAGGAAUGUGAAAUCAAGUGAGCCUUGGCCAAAAGUCAUGUGGGCCUUGACCAAAAGGGUCAAUGAUAAGGUCCAUCAUUUUAUGA